RNAcentral lists this ribosomal RNA (301 nucleotides) under uncultured bacterium. RNAcentral describes it as "partial 16S ribosomal RNA". It matches the Rfam family "Bacterial small subunit ribosomal RNA", at positions 509 to 807 of the family's 1533-position model. The record is from RNAcentral.
CAGUCGCCGCGGUAAUACAGAGGGUGCGAGCGUUAAUCGGAUUUACUGGGAGUAAAGCGUGCGUAGGCGGCUAAUUGAGUCGGAUGUGAAAUCCCCGAGCUUAACUUGGGAAUUGCAUUCGAUACUGGUUAGCUAGAGUGUGGGAGAGGAUGGUAGAAUUCCAGGUGUAGCGGUGAAAUGCGUAGAGAUCUGGAGGAAUACCGAUGGCGAAGGCAGCCAUCUGGCCUAACACUGACGCUGAGGUACGAAAGCAUGGGGAGCAAACAGGAUUAGAUACCCCUGUAGUCCCUGUCUCUUAUAC